Molecule: ribosomal RNA, 464 nt
Filed under: uncultured bacterium
Lineage: Bacteria
Description: partial 16S ribosomal RNA
Rfam family: Bacterial small subunit ribosomal RNA
Source: RNAcentral
CUACGGGGCGCUCCAGUGGGGAAUAUUGGACAAUGGGCGCAAGCCUGAUCCAGCAAUGCCGCGUGGGUGAAGAAGGCCUGCGGGUUGUAAAGCCCUUUCGGCCGGGAAGAAAAGCUUCGGGCUAAUACUCCGGAGUCUUGACGUUACCGGCAGAAGGAGCACCGGCUAACUCUGUGCCAGCAGCCGCGGUAAUACAGAGGGUGCUAGCGUUAAUCGGAAUUACUGGGCGUAAAGCGCACGUAGGCGGCUUGGCAAGUCGGAUGUGAAAGCCCCGGGCUUAACCUGGGAACUGCAUUCGAUACUGCCUGGCUCGAGUGUGGUAGAGGGUAGUGGAAUUCCGGGUGUAGCGGUGAAAUGCGUAGAUAUCCGGAGGAACACCAGUGGCGAAGGCGGCUACCUGGACCAACACUGACGCUGAGGUGCGAAAGCGUGGGGAGCAAACAGGAUUAGAUACCCUAGUAGUC